AGUGAACGCUGGCGGCAGGCCUAACACAUGCAAGUCGAACGGCAGCACAGUAAGAGCUUGCUCUUACGGGUGGCGAAUGGCGGACGGGUGAGGAAUACAUCGGAAUCUACUUUUUCGUGGGGGAUAACGUAGGGAAACUUACGCUAAUACCGCAUACGACCUACGGGUGAGAGCGGUGGAUCUUCUGACCUUGCGCGAAUGAAUGAGCCGAUGUCGGAUUAGCUAGUUGGCGGGGUAAAGGCCCACCAAGGCGACGAUCCGUAGCUGGUGUGAGAGGAUGGUCGGCGACACUGGAACGUGGACACGGUCCAGACGCCUACGGGAGGCAGCAGUGGGGAACAUUGGACAAUGGGCGCAAGCCUGAUCCAGCCAGCCCGCGUGGGUGAAGAAGGCCUUCGGGUUGUAAAGCCCUUUUGUGGGGAAAGAAAAGCAGCAGGUUAAUACGCCGCUGUUCUGACGGUACUCAAAGAAUAAGCACCGGCUAACUACGUG
RNAcentral lists this ribosomal RNA (492 nucleotides) under uncultured bacterium. RNAcentral's name for it is "partial 16S ribosomal RNA". It matches the Rfam family "Bacterial small subunit ribosomal RNA", at positions 29 to 507 of the family's 1533-position model. The record is from RNAcentral.